UAAGGAAUAUUGGACAAUGGGGGCAACCCUGAUCCAGCCAUGCCGCGUGAAGGAUGAAGGCCCUAUGGGUCGUAAACUUCUUUUGAACGGGAGAAAACCCUCGUACGUGUACGAGGCUGAUAGUACCGUUAGAAUAAGGAUCGGCUAACUCCGUGCCAGCAGCCGCGGUAAUACGGAGGAUCCAAGCGUUAUCCGGAUUCAUUGGGUUUAAAGGGUGCGUAGGCGGACUGAUAAGUCAGCGGUGAAAUCCCACGGCUCAACUGUGGAACUGCCGUUGAUACUGUUAGUCUUGAAUGCAGAUGAUGUGGGCGGAAUAUGACAUGUAGUGGUGAAAUACUUAGAUAUGUCAUAGAACACCGAUUGCGAAGGCAGCUCACAAAACUGUGAUUGACGCUGAUGCACGAAAGCGUGGGGAUCAAACAG
This 423-nucleotide ribosomal RNA is filed under the name uncultured bacterium. Its description in RNAcentral is "bacterial SSU rRNA". It matches the Rfam family "Bacterial small subunit ribosomal RNA", at positions 355 to 775 of the family's 1533-position model. The record is from RNAcentral.